Molecule: long non-coding RNA, 621 nt
Organism: Juglans regia (Persian walnut)
Lineage: Eukaryota; Viridiplantae; Streptophyta; Magnoliopsida; Fagales; Juglandaceae
Exons: 4
Source: RefSeq, a predicted model, not a curated record
CGAGACUCCUCUGCCCUAAGGGAGGCCCUGCACUGCGAUUUUGAAGACCGUUCAAACGAAGGCCGAGCUCCUCGCAGAUUCAAGCCCUCAAUCCACCAACGCGAAGCCCAGAGCUGCGAGAGGGGUGAAGCUUUUUCAUUUGUCUUUCCUUUGACAGAAUCACCAUGGCAUCUUCUCAAUCAUCAUCUUUAGAUAAUGAUUUUGUCAUGGAGUCACCAACUUGUUGGUGUGGUUUGAAAACGCCACUAAAGACGUCCUACACUAAGAAAAAUCCUGGAAGGAGAUUUUUUGCCUGUCCCAAAUAUAAUACGGGAGAUGCGAGGUGUGAAUUCUUCGUAUGGGCGGAUAUUUUUGAGUUGUUAGUGGAGAACAUGUUAUUAAAACAUAACUCACGGCGUAAUACAUGGGAUGAUGUAUUACGCCGCGAGUAUGCCGUUCGGAAAAGGGAAGAAAAAGUGAGAGAGAUAGCGAAGAAUCUGAAAAAGGAAAAGUGAAAGUUAUUGUGUUUGUACUGGAUUAUCACCUUUGUAAUAUUGUUUACUUGGUUUGGAUAAAUGUAAUGUAAGAAGCACGUUGUGUAAAAUUAUGUAAUUUUUGAAUAGAAACAGCUUCUCCUUUAAA